GCCGCACUAGAGAAAUGGUUAACUCGUCGGCCUUCUACAAGAAGAUUUGGAAGCCGAAGAUUCUGGGUUCGAGUCCCAGGUGCGGUU
Molecule: transfer RNA, 87 nt
Filed under: Hypoxylon rubiginosum
Lineage: Eukaryota; Fungi; Ascomycota; Sordariomycetes; Xylariales; Hypoxylaceae
Description: tRNA-Arg
Rfam family: tRNA
About the family: Transfer RNA (tRNA) molecules are approximately 80 nucleotides in length. Their secondary structure includes four short double-helical elements and three loops (D, anti-codon, and T loops).
Source: RNAcentral